UUCUAUCGCCAUAUUUUAAACAAAUAUUUACAAUGCAUUCUAUUUAUAUUCAAUUUUAGUAAUUGCUAUUAAUCUUAUAUUCCAUACGUUUUCUCAAUUCUGUAUUUUAGUUUAUUUUCUAGUUGUUGGAAGACCAUAGUGAACAUUACAAUUGAUUCCUCAAUAUUUAUUCCACCCAAGAUGGGUAAUCCAAGCCAACUAGAGACUGGUUCAGGCAUGUGGCUGCUUAUCUAACUGUGAGUGAUGGCUGUCACUAUUCACUGUGGGACAGGUAUCAAAUGUCAGCAAUCUCUUCUACUGCCAAUUUGCUGUUUGUUUUUCUCAACUCUUCUCCAUGUUGAAUCCUGGAAGUUAUUGAAACAAUCCUUGAUCAUUGCUUUUAGUCUCUAGUUGUUGUUAGGCAAAAGGAUUUGCGGCUCCUCAUCAGAAUAGCAAGUGAAUAAAGAGCAUGGAUUAUGGAAUCAGACCAGAUUUACACUUCUGACUGCAUGUUAUAACUGUGCCACCUCUCUAAAUCUUAAUUUUCUUGGUUGAAAAAAAUAGCAAAAACAAUACUAUCUCGUACAUUUGAUGUAACGAUUAAAUGAGAUGACGAGAGCAAAGGAUUUAACAUGAUUUUUUACAUAUGCACGAAUUUAAUUAUUCCAAUAGGAUGAUAUCUACAUUCUGUCAACACUUUGUAAUAGCAAAAAUAAAACCACCUGUGAACCAACAUAUGCUGAAAAUAACAUUGACUUUCUCCAGGUACCCAACAUAUUUAUGUAAUGUUAUUCAGGGAUAAGCUGGUGAGUUUGUGUUCUCUGCUGCUAGUUGGACACACUAAUAUAAAAACUUGCAGAUUAUUAACACAGUUUUCUGUAUGUAAGAUGUUUCUUUUCAUAAUAUGCAUUAAUAUUUUAUCUUUUUAUUUUCCUACUUUCUAAUCCCUUCUAAAGCUCAGAUCCAGUUCCAGUUUUUGAGAUUUCAGGAAAUAGUCUACACUAUAUUAUAUAAGGGCUAAUAGUUUCCUGAAGUCCAUCUCCAGGUUAUUUUGAUUAGAAGAUCAUCUUCCUCGGGGAUCUUGACUUUCACUUCUGAUAAUAUUGCGUUAUGGUUGCCCCUAACACAUGCAUAUAUCUGACUAGAUGUUAUUGAGAUAUUUUAGUUACUUCUUCCACUGAGAGUGCAUCCCAUUGUCUGAGGAAUGUUGUAAAGUUUUAAUUUGUCAAUCAUAAUACAUGUAUAGUUACACCAGAAUAAGAAUUGAUUGGCAAGUGUCUAGGCUCAAAAUUUGGUUUUAGUUU
This 1283-nucleotide long non-coding RNA is filed under the name Homo sapiens (human). RNAcentral describes it as "HSALNT0339313". Lineage: Eukaryota; Metazoa; Chordata; Mammalia; Primates; Hominidae. The record is from RNAcentral.